GACGAACGCUGGCGGCGUGCUUAACACAUGCAAGUCGAACGGAAAGGCCCUGCUUUUGUGGGGUGCUCGAGUGGCGAACGGGUGAGUAACACGUGAGUAACCUGCCCUUGACUUUGGGAUAACUUCAGGAAACUGGGGCUAAUACCGGAUAGGAGCUCCUGCUGCAUGGUGGGGGUUGGAAAGUUUCGGCGGUUGGGGAUGGACUCGCGGCUUAUCAGCUUGUUGGUGGGGUAGUGGCUUACCAAGGCUUUGACGGGUAGCCGGCCUGAGAGGGUGACCGGCCACAUUGGGACUGAGAUACGGACCAGACUCCUACGGGAGGCAGCAGUGGGGAAUAUUGCACAAUGGGCGGAAGCCUGAUGCAGCAACGCCGCGGGCGGGAUGACGGCCUUCGGGUUGUAAACCGCUUUCGCCUGUGACGAAGCGUGAGUGACGGUAAUGGGUAAAGAAGCACCGGCUAACUACGUG
RNAcentral lists this ribosomal RNA (468 nucleotides) under uncultured bacterium. RNAcentral's name for it is "partial 16S ribosomal RNA". It matches the Rfam family "Bacterial small subunit ribosomal RNA", at positions 28 to 507 of the family's 1533-position model. The record is from RNAcentral.